AAUGGAUUUGCAUAAGGCAGAAUAGUCUAGAAUUUAUGAGGAUUCAAGAUAGUUUAAGCUAAGAAUACAAAAAAGCUUUAUAAAUGAGGUUUAGAAAGUUAAGAGAUUCAAUUUUUGCACUUUUCUAUAAUCUUUUAUUCUGAAUCUGCAGCAGAUCAGCUGAGUGCUACUGAAAAUAGAAUAGUAAUCACAGCUCCUGCUCUGACCACCUUUUCUGAUUUGGAAUGGAUCAAUUCUGAUUCCAUUUUGAUUAAAAAGAACUGAGUCAAAGCCAGACAAAAUUACCUCGCACCUGAAUAACCAAUUUAUUUGUGUUCAAUGGUGACUUGAUCUGUGGCAAGAUAGCAAAUAGAAAAUGGUCUGCCUUCUCUCAGAUGUUGUCAGCUGAAAUCAGGGUGAUAGGGUUGAAGCAACAGGAUGAGAGAUCUCAAGCAUGCUGCUAAAUAUUGUAGUCUGACAAAACUAUAUGGCUUCCUUUAUCAAGACAGCUGUGUUUUUACAUAAAUAAUCUUAAUUUGGCCUGCUCAAGGAUUACGCCUUGUACUCCAGCACACUACCUUGAAAGGUCACCUUGACUUCCCCAAGGAGUUUACUUCAAGGCAUUCAGGAUGCCAGUCCAGAAAGCCUCACAGACUGAGGUAGAUAAGAGGGCAGUUCCCUUUGACCAGGAGUACCUGCAGGAGAAGCUUGGACAGAGCUCUGAGGAAGAAUGCAGAAGAACCACAGUCACUGAAAUUCCUGGUCUCCUUAGCAACACAGGCUGCAAAGAGCUCACCAGUCUGGUGUUCUGCUGCAUGCAUGAGCUUCCAAUUCAACUGGAAGAACUUUGGUUUAGGAUUCAGAACUUCCCUUUGACCACUUCAAAAUACUGGUGAGGGAGACUCUUCUUUUGCAUAUGGUCUCAUAAAAGCUAUAAUUUCAAUGUUUAUCCUUGAAAUAUAUAACCAAGAGGAGCUUCUGAGAAAAGAAAAUUUUCGUGGCAGAAGACUGAACAACUUAUUCUGUUCCCCUGCACCAUGACCAUAGAACAAAAUAUCUUAAUACUGCAACUAAAUUCUUUAACAUAGCUCCCCUUAAUAACUUAAAAGGAUGCAAAAAUGUAUACAAGAGUAAUACUGUGUCUUUCCCAAAGCUUCUAGAAACUAAUCAUUUUUCUUCUGUUAUGAGGCAGAAAUGUGAGAAAUCUUACUACAGACACACCCGUCUGUGUCACUGUUGUGA
This 1221-nucleotide long non-coding RNA is filed under the name Corvus moneduloides (New Caledonian crow). Its description in RNAcentral is "lncRNA (ENSCMUG00000017438.1)". The record is from RNAcentral. Lineage: Eukaryota; Metazoa; Chordata; Aves; Passeriformes; Corvidae.